UACAGAGACUGCAAGCGUUAUUCGGAUUCACUGGGCGUAAAGGGUGCGCAGGCGGCCAAGUGUGUCAGGUGUGAAAUCCCGAGGCUUAACCUCGGAACUGCGCCUGAAACUACUUGGCUAGAGUACUGGAGAGGGUAACGGAAUUCACGGUGUAGCAGUGAAAUGCGUAGAUAUCGUAAGGAAGACCAGUGGCGAAGGCGAAUCUCUGGACAGUUACUGACACUGAGGCACGAAGGCCAGGGGAGCAAACGGG
This 253-nucleotide ribosomal RNA is filed under the name uncultured bacterium. RNAcentral describes it as "partial 16S ribosomal RNA". It matches the Rfam family "Bacterial small subunit ribosomal RNA", at positions 524 to 776 of the family's 1533-position model. The record is from RNAcentral.